RNAcentral lists this ribosomal RNA (253 nucleotides) under uncultured bacterium. RNAcentral's name for it is "partial 16S ribosomal RNA". It matches the Rfam family "Bacterial small subunit ribosomal RNA", at positions 524 to 776 of the family's 1533-position model. The record is from RNAcentral.
UACGUAGGGUGCGAGCGUUAAUCGGAAUUACUGGGCGUAAAGCGUGCGCAGGCGGUAAGUUAAGUCUGAUGUGAAAGCCCCGGGCUCAACCUGGGAAUGGCAUUGGAAACUGGCUUGCUGGAGUGUGGCAGAGGGGGGUGGAAUUCCGCGUGUAGCAGUGAAAUGCGUAGAGAUGCGGAGGAACACCAAUUGCGAAGGCAGCUCGCUGGGACGUCACUGACGCUGAGACGCGAAAGCGUGGGGAGCAAACAGG